AUCUAGUUGACGAGUCACAAAUAGGAUGAUAUGCGCGUCCUGGAU
Schistosoma margrebowiei is the source of this 45-nucleotide non-coding RNA. Lineage: Eukaryota; Metazoa; Platyhelminthes; Trematoda; Strigeidida; Schistosomatidae. The record is from Rfam.